UGUUUCGGCUAGGGGGUCAUCCCGACUUACCAACCCGAUGCAAACUACGAAUACCGAAGAAUGUUAUCACGGGAGACACACGGCGGGUGCUAACGUCCGUCGUGAAGAGGGAAACAACCCAGACCGCCAGCUAAGGUCCCAAAGUCAUGGUUAAGUGGGAAACGAUGUGGGAAGGCACAGACAGCCAGGAUGUUGGCUUAGAAGCAGCCAUCAUUUAAAGAAAGCGUAAUAGCUCACUGGUCGAGUCGGCCUGCGCGGAAGAUGUAACGGGGCUAAACCAUGCACCGAAGCUGCGGCAGCGACACUAUGUGUUGUUGGGUAGGGGAGCGUUCUGUAAGCCUGCGAAGGUGUGCUGUGAGGCAUGCUGGAGGUAUCAGAAGUGCGAAUGCUGACAUAAGUAACGAUAAAGCGGGUGAAAAGCCCGCUCGCCGGAAGACCAAGGGUUCCUGUCCAACGUUAAUCGGGGCAGGGUGAGUCGACCCCUAAGGCGAGGCCGAAAGGCGUAGUCGAUGGGAAACAGGUUAAUAUUCCUGUACUUGGUGUUACUGCGAAGGGGGGACGGAGAAGGCUAUGUUAGCCGGGCGACGGUUGUCCCGGUUUAAGCAUGUAGGCUG
Molecule: ribosomal RNA, 614 nt
Filed under: Klebsiella pneumoniae
Lineage: Bacteria; Pseudomonadati; Pseudomonadota; Gammaproteobacteria; Enterobacterales; Enterobacteriaceae
Description: partial 23S ribosomal RNA
Rfam family: Bacterial large subunit ribosomal RNA
Source: RNAcentral